CAAAGCCGGUGUGUUUUGGGCAGCCGAGAAGGCCACAGUAAGCCAAUUGGGACUGGUAUAAAGAGCACCAGGCACAGGGGGCCCUGGAUGACAACACCCCCAAAGGAACCCAGGACUUAAAACCUUCCUGAGAGCUGGAGCAAUUUGGAGAUUACAGCGGAUUCCCCGGACGACCUGGGCUCAGGGCAAGAACUCCCGUCCACCCCUCCACCCCUCUUCUUCUUACGUUACACCCAGGCCUGGCCAGCCGUGGGUUGGGCAUGUGUACACAAAGGAGGAGAAGAGACAGAUGUCAGAAAGAAAAACACUUCCCAGAAGGCACACAGAUCUACAGAAAGAGAGAAGAAAACAAAAUAUUGAAGGGAAUCAAAGACAUACUGGAACAGUUAAUCAAAGACUUAGACUGUCUGAAGAUGCAGCACUAGCCACCCCAUACCCUGAAUUUUAAUGAAUCGUAUCUAGUCCACAUAAAGGGAUGGUGAAGAGGUGACAGCCUCCAAGGGACAAAAUAAGCCACUUAAAAGCAAUUUUCUUUGACUGGUGUUCAACUCCAUUAAGUUUUUGCAGCCAUCUAGUCUUGGGGCUCCAUGAGGAAGAAGGUGAAUCUAUCACUGGAAUCAGCAGGAUCUCAAAUAAUUCAGGUGAGGGAUUAACAGCUGAAAUGUAGCAAUAACACCUAGACCUUGAAAGGACUCCCCUGAGAGGGAGACUAGACAUGUUAAAGCAAGUAGGACUACAAGGGAUACCGUACAUUUGCAGCAGCCAUGUGCCUUCUCCGAUUGACCCAUGACGUCAGCCUCCACUGCCCACUUGUUCGUUUUUCAAACAAGCACCUUUGUGCUUUCUCCCAUGCUGCCCCACAUGUUUGCGGGGUGAUCCAUGAAAUCACUUCAUUCUCCACCUUCAAAUCCCUUCUCUAAAAGCUCCUUUGCCAUGAUGCAUACGAACAUCUUGAUAAUGGCUAGGCUGCUGGUGUGCUGACACCACUACCUGUCACACUGACCAAUGCUGUCUCGCUGUUCACUUGUACUCCCUCAUCGAUCUGUAUCCAUGUGUUCCUGCUUGUCUUAGACUGUAAGCUCUUUAGGGCAGGGACCCUCUUUUUGUUCUGUGUUUGUACAGCACCUAGCACAAAGGGGUCCUGGUCCUUGACUGGGGCUCCUAGGUGCUCCUGCAGUACAAACAAUAGAUAAUAAUGUGAAGAUCAGCCCCUCAAAAUAAGAAAAUGGGAAGGGAAUGGGCUGGAGAGACCUUGAUGUAAAACCUAUAUACUUCAGAAGUGAUCUCUGGAAAUCCUAGGAACAACAAACCUCAUAUUUACACCUCAGAAUUGCAUCUCCUAAAAAUCAGCUGGGUCAUUGAAUCAGAUCGAAAAGCACCUCUUAUUGAAGCCCCAAUACCUUCCUACAGCACCUACAUCUUCCCUAGUGCAGCAGCUCUACUGAGAAAGGUUUGGUCCCUUUCCCUUCCCCCCUGGACUGCUUGCCACCCCACCUCAUUCCCUCCACUACAGAUGUUCCCAGAUGUGGUUAAUUCUGCCUACCACCAAGAAAAGCUGUUUGAGAACUGCUGCCUUAGAGAUUCCCAUCCAACUGCUACCUGGACUGACUUGUAACAUCUAAUGGGAUUACAGCACAUGGAGGCAAUGCCUGCAGAGAGCCAUUCUGGGCACCAAGAUCUCAGAGGAGAUAUGGUUGAGAUAAAUCAGUAAGGACCUAAUCUUGCUUCCACUGAAAUCAAUGAGUAUUCCCUACCUCAAAGUUUGAAUUCACUGGAAGCAGGAGCAGGCCCUCUGUUCUGGCAAGAGAUUGAUUCUUGGGUUUGUUGUCUGAUGUAUCUAUCACUUUGUAUUAGUGGGUUUCAGAUAAACAAGAUUGACUUGGUAUUUUACUUUUUGAAAGCUAAGACUCUGUGUUCAGGUUUCAUUUUCAUGUCAAAUCAACAGGACUAGAGGCAAUCUUGGAAUGUGUGUGUGUGUGUGUGUGUGUUUCAAGGAUAGUGGAACACACCUUUCUCUUAAAUGCCAUCGU
This is a long non-coding RNA of Mauremys mutica (yellowpond turtle), 2030 nucleotides long. RefSeq lists it as uncharacterized. The record is from RefSeq and is a predicted model, not a curated record. The transcript has 3 exons. Lineage: Eukaryota; Metazoa; Chordata; Testudines; Geoemydidae.